UCCCAGUUUCCUGGGCAGUCUCGUUUGAAAAAUACAACAAACAAUAAGGGUUGCGCUCGUUACCGGACUUAACCGAACACCUCACGGCACGAGCUGACGACGGCCAUGCAACACCUGUCAUCUGGUUCCCGAAGGCACGGCUCUGUUUCCAGAGCGUUCCAGAGAUGUCAAGCCUCGGUAAGGUUCUUCGCUUACCGUCGAAUUAAACCACAUGCUCCACUGCUUGUGCGGGCCCCCGUCAAUUCCUUUGAGUUUUAGUCUUGCGACCGUACUCCCCAGGCGGGAUACUUAACGCGUUAGCUACGAUACUGCACGGGUCGAUACGCACAAUAUCUAGUAUCCAUCGUUUACGGCGUGGACUAC
RNAcentral lists this unclassified non-coding RNA (363 nucleotides) under uncultured bacterium. Its description in RNAcentral is "contains 16S-23S intergenic spacer region". The record is from RNAcentral.